Non-coding RNA from Equus caballus (horse), 814 nucleotides. The record is from RefSeq and is a predicted model, not a curated record. Lineage: Eukaryota; Metazoa; Chordata; Mammalia; Perissodactyla; Equidae.
GUCUAAAGAGUUAGGAAGUUUCCAGAAAGGAAUGGCCACAGCCUCUCAGGGAUUCCCAAGUCCCAGAGGCCCAGAACAUUGGGUGAGUCCUAAAGAGAGGGCCCAUGUGUGAAGCUAUCUGGGCAGAGUUCUUCGGUUCCAAGAGGAGAGGGCACACCAUGCCACACAUGGCCCCGUGGGGAAGCACCAGGUCAGCCCUGAAGAAGAGGAGGAAAUUGUGGGAAGUGGCUAACCCUGGGACGAGCAGUUCCUCCAGGACCAGCGAGGCUCCAGAUGUCAAAGCAUCACAUCCAGACGAUAAAAGACAUGGUCAACGCACCUGGCCAUUUAAAAACAGGGGGCAGGCCAGAUUUGGCCCACGGGCUGCGGAUUGCCAAUCCAUGUGCUAGGAGAACAAAGAUAAUAGCUAAUAUCAAACAUGCAAUUAUUAUGAAAAAUAAAGACUUUAUAGUAAAUAUAGUAAAUCCUGAAGCUUCUUGAUCUUUGCCAGUAAACACUGAAGAAAGAAAUUGUAAUUUAUGACAACAAGAAACAAGCUGUAUCUAUUUAAAUUUAAGGAAGACAUUACCCCCAUCUGGCCAAUGUAUUCUGUUCACUCUGCUCCUCUUGUGCCCAGGACAUAAGCAUUCCCUAACCUGCUCUUUCAUAUCCUUACUGAGAAGAGUAAAUUCCAGAACAGAACUAGAAUUCUCAACAUGAUUGUAUCUUCACAAGCACUCUAGUAAAAUAUUAGUGUGAUCUCUGUGGUCUCAUCAUUUUACCCAAGGCUAAAUGAAGGUUUUUGGAGCUCAUAAUCUAAUUAUAUCUUUGUGAA